AUACAGAGAGUGCAAGCGUUAAUCGGAAUUACUGGGCGUAAAGCGCGCGUAGGUGGAUACUUCAGUCGGAUGUGAAAGCCCUGGGCUUAACCUAGGAAUGGCAUUCGAUACUGGGUAUCUAGAGUAUGGUAGAGGGAAGUGGAAUUUCCGGUGUAGCGGUGAAAUGCGUAGAUAUCGGAAGGAACACCAGUGGCGAAGGCGGCUUCCUGGACCAAUACUGACACUGAGGUGCGAAAGCGUGGGGAGCAAACAGGAUUAGAAACCCCGGUAGUCC
This 274-nucleotide ribosomal RNA is filed under the name uncultured bacterium. RNAcentral describes it as "partial 16S ribosomal RNA". It matches the Rfam family "Bacterial small subunit ribosomal RNA", at positions 523 to 796 of the family's 1533-position model. The record is from RNAcentral.